UCCGCGGUAGCUCAAUGGUAGAGCAGGAAACUGUUAAUUUCAAGGUUCGAGGUUCGAAUCCUCGCCGCGGAG
Molecule: transfer RNA, 72 nt
Filed under: bacterium
Lineage: Bacteria
Description: tRNA-Asn
Rfam family: tRNA
About the family: Transfer RNA (tRNA) molecules are approximately 80 nucleotides in length.
Source: RNAcentral